RNAcentral lists this transfer RNA (75 nucleotides) under Ameiurus melas (black bullhead). It matches the Rfam family "tRNA". From Rfam's summary of the family: Transfer RNA (tRNA) molecules are approximately 80 nucleotides in length. Their secondary structure includes four short double-helical elements and three loops (D, anti-codon, and T loops). The record is from Rfam by way of RNAcentral. Lineage: Eukaryota; Metazoa; Chordata; Actinopteri; Siluriformes; Ictaluridae.
GUCUCGUGGCGCAAUCGGCCAGCGGCGUUCGGCUGUUAACCGGAAAGGUUGGUGGUUCGAGCCCACCCAGGGACG